CCUACGGGUGGCAGCAGUGGGGAAUAUUGCACAAUGGGGGAAACCCUGAUGCAGCGACGCCGCGUGAAGGAAGAAGUAUUUCGGUAUGUAAACUUCUAUCAGCAGGGAAGAAAAUGACGGUACCUGACUAAGAUGCCCCGGCUAACUACGUGCCAGCACCCGCGGUAAUAUGCAGGGGGCAAGCGUUAUCCGGAUUUACUGGGUGUGAAGGGAGCGUAGGCGGUUUAGAAAGGCAGAAGUGAAAGCCCGGGGCUCAACUCCGAGACUGCUUUUGAAACUGUUGAACUAGAUUGCAGGAGAGGCAAGCGGAAUUCCUUGGGUAGCGGUGAAAUGCGUAGAUAUAAGGAAGAACACCAGUGGCGAAGGCGGGCUGCUGAACAGCAACUGACGGUGAGGCGCGAAAGCGUGGGGAGCAAACAGGAUUAGAUACCCCAGUAGUC
This 440-nucleotide ribosomal RNA is filed under the name uncultured bacterium. Its description in RNAcentral is "partial 16S ribosomal RNA". It matches the Rfam family "Bacterial small subunit ribosomal RNA", at positions 338 to 795 of the family's 1533-position model. The record is from RNAcentral.